Oryzias latipes (Japanese medaka) is the source of this 583-nucleotide non-coding RNA. Lineage: Eukaryota; Metazoa; Chordata; Actinopteri; Beloniformes; Adrianichthyidae. The record is from RefSeq and is a predicted model, not a curated record.
CUUCCAGCAUCAACAUGAGUUCAUCAUGGAUCACAGAGAUUCAUCAAGAAACAGAACAUGAAUUGAUACUUGUGUAUUUUCUCCACAGCUGUUAAACAGCAGAUAACAGUGUGUGUUUGUGAGUUCAGCAUCAAGCUGAGUGUGUUUGUGGAACAUGAAUGUGUUGGAGUGUUUGUGCAUCAUGUGACCCAGAUUCUCUUCAUCUGCUGUCAGAUUCAAAUCAGGAAGAUGAAACCACACAGCAGCUUCAGCUGAGCUGUCCGUCUGCAGCAGCAGUCUUCUCUGUGAGCUGCAGGGGCUGAUGGGAGCUUGGAGGAGGAGUCCCAAAGAACGUGGUCCUGCUCUCAUCUCACAGCUCUCAGGUCCUUCUUUGUCCUCAGCUGCAUCAGAACACCACUUCUCCUCAGGUUGAGCAGAGGAAACACGGCUGAACAAAAUGCUUUUCCUCCCAGCUGCUGCUCUGUGCUGUCUGUGUUCAGCACUGGUUGCCAUGGCAGCAGAACUGAUUCAGGAGGAUUUAACAUUGACCAGGAGAGUUGGUGAAAGUGUCUCUUUCAGCUGUGGAGGAAUUCAGCAGUGUGAU